GGAAUAUUGGUCAAUGGGCGAGAGCCUGACCCAGCCAAGUAGCGUGCAGGAUGACGGCCCUACGGGUUGUAAACUGCUUUUUCCGGGGAAUAACCGGCGGCACGCGUUGCUGCCCUGCAUGUACCCGGCGAAUAAGGACCGGCUAAUUCCGUGCCAGCAGCCGCGGCAAUACGGAAGGUCCGGGCGUUAUCCGGAUUUAUUGGGUUUAAAGGGAGCGCAGGCGGGUGCUUAAGCGUGCUGUGAAAUGUACCGGCUCAACCGGUGACGUGCAGCGCGAACUGGGUGCCUUGAGUGAGUGCGAGGUAUGCGGAAUUCGUGGUGUAGCGGUGAAAUGCUUAGAUAUCACGAAGAACCCCGAUUGCGAAGGCAGCGUACCAGUCCUUUACUGACGCUAAAGCUCGAAGGUGCGGGUAUCGAACA
This 420-nucleotide ribosomal RNA is filed under the name uncultured Prevotella sp. RNAcentral describes it as "bacterial SSU rRNA". It matches the Rfam family "Bacterial small subunit ribosomal RNA", at positions 358 to 774 of the family's 1533-position model. Lineage: Bacteria; Pseudomonadati; Bacteroidota; Bacteroidia; Bacteroidales; Prevotellaceae. The record is from RNAcentral.